AUGCACGCUGGCGGCGUGCCUAAUACAUGCAAGUCGCGCGAACGGACGAGAAGCUUGCUUUUCUGAUGUUAGCGGCGGACGGGUGAGUAACACGUGGAUAACCUACCUAUAAGACUGGGAUAACUUCGGGAAACCGGAGCUAAUACCGGAUAAUAUUUUGAACCGCAUGGUUCAAAAGUGAAAGACGGUCUUGCUGUCACUUAUAGAUGGAUCCGCGCUGCAUUAGCUAGUUGGUAAGGUAACGGCUUACCAAGGCAACGAUGCAUAGCCGACCUGAGAGGGUGAUCGGCCACACUGGAACUGAGACACGGUCCAGACUCCUACGGGAGGCAGCAGUAGGGAAUCUUCCGCAAUGGGCGAAAGCCUGACGGAGCAACGCCGCGUGAGUGAUGAAGGUCUUCGGAUCGUAAAACUCUGUUAUUAGGGAAGAACACAUGUGUAAGUAACUGUGCACAUCUUGACGGUACCUAAUCAGAAAGCCACGGCUAACUACGUG
This 496-nucleotide ribosomal RNA is filed under the name uncultured bacterium. Its description in RNAcentral is "partial 16S ribosomal RNA". It matches the Rfam family "Bacterial small subunit ribosomal RNA", at positions 29 to 507 of the family's 1533-position model. The record is from RNAcentral.